Non-coding RNA from Lolium perenne, 1892 nucleotides. The record is from RefSeq and is a predicted model, not a curated record. Lineage: Eukaryota; Viridiplantae; Streptophyta; Magnoliopsida; Poales; Poaceae.
CCCUGCCUCCGGAUCUCUGUCCCAACUCCUGAUCCCCAUUAUUCGCAAGUCCACCUUACAACCCUAACAGCACCACGCCGCCACAAAUCAAGCCAUCAAACAACAUCUACUAUCUCCCUAUCUAGUUUCCCCUUUCCUCGUGUUGUUGGUGCUGCUCGGAAAUCACACGAGGCGGCGACCAUGCACUGAAUGAUCGAUGCGGUGGCGCGUAUGCAAGGAGAAGAGGCGAGGCGGAUCAUGGUGGUCACGGCGGACCAAGGGCAAUCCAGGCGCGACUCCUCGUUUCCCCUUUCUGAUUCAUGUCUUUUUUUCCUGUUAUUCUUGACUAGUUGCAACCUUACCGCAGCGCCUUCUUCUUUUGCCGCAUCACGUUCGGUUGGUUGGCGGUGACACCGAAGGCUCCGAUGGGGAUUUGCGACUGGCUCCUGGGGAAACGAGGGUGUUGACAUCGCCGCCGGCGUCGACGGUAGCCAUCUGAUGCCCUCGUCAGAGGUGCCUAAUUGUCUUCCCGUGCUAUUAUUUGUUCAUUUUUAGAUCUGUCACAGGUACGUACGCACAAGACUUCUCACCUAAUGUCUCAGCGAGUGCCAGAUGCGGAGUCUGAUUUUCCAUGCGCGCUGUUCUAUGUAUUCAAGUAGCAGAAAGAACGUGAAAGGACUAGUAUUGUUAUUUGCAACUGGGCAUGUUCAUAUUCUGGCUAAUAACCUAUUUCGUCCUGCAGCUUUCAGCACGUAGAAAUUUAAUUCCUGAAUUUUCAAAAUGAGAAAUAACUAGAUUUUACUUCAGAAGAUCAGAAGAAAUUUGUGUCUGAACUAAUUGCCAUGCACCCUUAUCCUGGCCAGGUAUGUAACUACAUGGCUGGAACUGAAGUUGUUUGUAAAGCAGAAAAGCUGGGUGUAGAUUCAGGCUUAUCGACAGUAUGCCCAUCAAGGUUUUUGUUGUAACUACACCAAGUCAGCAGUCUUUUCCAAACUUUACCAUUAUCUGCCUCGUGUAAGAUUCGUUGGUAUCAUCUUCAUAGUUUAUUGCAUCAUGUCUUUAUGUUGAUUAUAAACAUUAGUUAAGUUGCAACAAAUACACGACCAAAAGAGUAAACGCUAAUCAUGAAUCUGGAUGCACAUUCUAUAUUUUUUUACAUAAUCGAGUUUAUCCAUGCAUGGCCAGCAAGAUUAUCUAGGUGCAUUGCCUGAUUAUCUAGGUGCAUUGCCCCUUGUUUGUUUAUUUUCUUACUGCUCUCUGUUUACAAAUAUACAAUGAGAAGCACCUGCAAUGCUCAUAAGUGCCACCUAAAGGUCAGUUUGCAUGCUAGUGAUAGAAAUCCACGGCCACAAUAGUAAACCUCCUGUAUUUGAACUGUACCUGGGAGCAAACUUCAGUUAUACAGGUGAAGUUUACUUCAGUUAUACACGUGGAGUUAACGCAAUGGACAUGUUAGUUGUAUUCCCUACUGAAUACUUGGAAGUUUGGCUGGUAAACAAACGGAGUGGAACUUCUAUCUUGGUUGGUUUUGAGGCCACUAAAAACUCCUCUUUACCCCGAGGUGCGAUGGGCUAUUGGAAAUACACGGUAUAUCACACAUUGUCCUGCCUGAAGACUUGGUGUUUGCAUGCUACUAACGUGUUAAAAGAAAUUCCAAGCAGCAAGUAGAUGUGAAUUUAAAGAUUCAAAAGAUAGAUGGAGGAUGAUAUGGGUGACAAGUUGAAUGGAAGGGAGAAAAUGAAGAUUCUGCUGGAUAAUCUACUUCAGAUCUCAACAUCUUUAUUUAUCUUGUAGGAAGUGAUGUUGUAAACAAAAUAUUUAUAUAUGAAGUGAUGUUGUAUCCACGUGGAUGGUGUUCCUCUUGUAAUGCUGCGAUUUUAAUUCAAUAUAUAGUAUUUUCUCUUCUCAAUAAA